GAAAUAAGUAACUCAAAAAUAAGCUUCUAACUUAAUUUUUUAGCGAUGAAAUUCGUUAUUAUUUCU
Molecule: transfer RNA, 66 nt
Filed under: Euryusa optabilis
Lineage: Eukaryota; Metazoa; Arthropoda; Insecta; Coleoptera; Staphylinidae
Description: tRNA-Ser
Source: RNAcentral